AACACAGUCUGGCAGUGCCUAAG
This 23-nucleotide non-coding RNA is filed under the name Cricetulus griseus (Chinese hamster). The record is from RNAcentral. Lineage: Eukaryota; Metazoa; Chordata; Mammalia; Rodentia; Cricetidae.